Molecule: ribosomal RNA, 171 nt
Filed under: uncultured bacterium
Lineage: Bacteria
Description: partial 16S ribosomal RNA
Rfam family: Bacterial small subunit ribosomal RNA
Source: RNAcentral
CUCCUACGGGGGCAGGCAGUGGGGAAUUUUGCGCAAUGGGGAAACCUGACGCAGCAACGCCGCGUGGAGGAUGAAGUCCCUUGGGACGUAAACUCCUUUCGAUCGGGACGAUUAUGACGGUACCGGAAGGAGAAGCCCCGGCUAACUUCGUGCCAGCAGCCGCGGUAAUUC